Molecule: unclassified non-coding RNA, 432 nt
Filed under: soil metagenome
Description: partial contains 5.8S ribosomal RNA, internal transcribed spacer 2, and large subunit ribosomal RNA
Rfam family: 5.8S ribosomal RNA (bases 1-120)
Source: RNAcentral
GAUGAAGAACGCAGCGAAAUGCGAUACGUAAUGUGAAUUGCAGAAUUCAGUGAAUCAUCGAAUCUUUGAACGCAUAUUGCGCUCUCUGGUAUUCCGGAGAGCAUGCUUGUUUGAGUAUCAGUAAACACCUCAACUUCCAUAUCUUUUUUGAAAUGGGAGUUGGACUUGAGUGAUCCCAACGCUUUUCCUCACCGAAAAGUGGCGGGUUACUUGAAAUGCAGGUGCAGCUGGACUUUUCUCUGAGCUAUAAGCAUAUCUAUUUAGUCUGCCUAAAAACAGAUUAUUACCUUUGCUGCAGCUAACAUAAAGGAGAUUAGUUCUUGUGCUGACUGCUGCAGGAUUCACAAAGACAGGCUUCGGCCGACUUUGUAAACUCGAUCUCAAAUCAAGUAAGACUACCCGCUGAACUUAAGCAUAUCAAUAAGCGGAGGA